Molecule: ribosomal RNA, 529 nt
Filed under: Servaea vestita
Lineage: Eukaryota; Metazoa; Arthropoda; Arachnida; Araneae; Salticidae
Description: partial 16S ribosomal RNA
Rfam family: Bacterial large subunit ribosomal RNA (bases 149-443)
Source: RNAcentral
GAUUUAUUAAAUAGCCGCAAUUUCGUGCUAAGGUAGCAUAAUCAUUUGUCUUUUAAAUAAAGACUAGAACAAAAGAUUUAACAUUUCAAUUUACUUAUUUAAUUUUAAUAUUUAAAUUUAUAUAAAUGUAAAAAAACAUUUUCAAAUAAGAAAGACGACAAGACCCUAUUGAACUUAACUUUAGUUAAACUGGGGCAGUAAAUUAAUUAUAAUUUUAAUUAAAUUAAAUUCAACAAUAAUCUAAUACUAUUAAUAAUCCAGUUACCUUAGGGAUAACAGCGCAAUUAUAUCUUAAAGUUCUUAUUUAAAAAAUAGAUUACGACCUCGAUGUUGAAUUAAUAACCUAAUUAAAGCAAAUUUUAAAACAGGAAGUCUGUUCGACUUUUAAACAAUUACAUGAUUUGAGUUCAGACCGGUAUAAGCCAGGUCGGUUUCUAUCUUCUUUAAAGUUUUUUACAGUACGAAAGGACCCAAUAAUAUUUUAUUCAAUUGGCAGAAUAAUGCAUUAGAAUUAGAAUCUAAUAAAACU